This is a long non-coding RNA of Lutra lutra (Eurasian river otter), 1439 nucleotides long. RefSeq lists it as uncharacterized. The transcript is spliced from 3 exons. The record is from RefSeq and is a predicted model, not a curated record. NCBI's taxonomy places the organism in Eukaryota, Metazoa, Chordata, Mammalia, Carnivora, Mustelidae.
GGAGGGGAGGGAGCGCGGACGCCGUGGGGAAGAGGUCGGAGGUCUCCGAAUCUAAAGCCGGUGGACAGAAGGAUUCUCUUUCUUGAAGUUCUUUCAGGAGGCUACGCUCACCCAGCAAUCAAGUGAAAAGUGGGAAGCACCAAGGUUUAUGCAUUUAGGAGAGAUGUACAGAAGACUGGACAGAACAGAUGCAAGGAUCUUUUCCUUUCUUCUUGUUUUGGAGUAAAGGAAAUGGACCUUGAAAUGCUAUGGCAAGGAUAAACCUUGAAAGCUGCCUGCCAUUCUGAGCAGCUUCUGGCAAGAUGCUGGGUGAUCAGACUAUUGAGACCCUGGAAUUCAAGAACUGUUCUCAAGCAGUUGCUAAAAGGUACAACCACUUACUCCAGAAAAUGAAUCACAUGCGGUCUCAGUGAACAAGACAGGUAGGUACCUCCUCAUCCUGUAGAGCGAGAUUGCAGUCUGACGCAGGGGCUCUUCAGGAGAUGCCUGAGGCCUGAGGAUGCGAUGUCUUGGACCCAAUGGUUGUGCUGUAAUUACUGAAGACCACCUGUACAGGGGGCAUUCAUGGGGACAAGAUGUUCAGAAAGAGAAAUGCUGGUUGUAAUGGCCAACCAUCAGGGGACUAAGCUCUGCCUGACCUUUCUCUGGUAGACGCUGUCUUGUUUUGUUCCUAAGAAUAGUGGGCAACAUUUCAUCCAGGAAUCCAGGGAUCAUGACAAAUCUGUAAGGAAGCAAACGUGAUCAUCAAGCUGUGGGAGUACAGAUGAAACAAGAUUGGCCAUGAAUUGAUCAUUUCUGAAUUUGACUGGUAGGUCUGUAGGACUUCCCUGAACAAUUUGACUCUAAUAUGUGCUUAAAUAUAUGGUUUGAAAUUAUCCACAAUACAAAACAAGUCCCUUUAGAGAUUAUCUAGCUGAAUCUUUCAUUUUAAAGGUAGAACCCAGUGGUUAAAUGCCCAAAGUCACAUAAGGAAUUAAUGCAGAGCCAGUAUUAGAAUCCUGCCCUCUCUCUGCAGGGAUUAGGAUAUUUUGGUUAGCUUUACGUGCUUAAAUAAAUGUCAUAUUCUUCAGCUCUGCUCUUACUACCUUGAAAAGCAGAUGGCUGUUUUCAAAACUCCUGCCAAAUAGCCUUAAGAACAUAUUAACGACAGAAGUACCCUUCUCUUAUGAAGCCCCAGGGGGGAGUUUUCUUUGAAGGCUCUCUUCAGCCCCAACAUUUCAAAGGGAAACCCUCCACCUUAAUGUUUGAUAGCACAAAGCAGUCACUGUAGCCCCUUCUUCUUGGAGGACCACCACCAAGAAAGAACUGAAUGUUCUUCCUGGGCCUCUGGCAGUAUUCAGUUUCCUUUAGAACCUGAUUGAAGGCUUGGUGGGGGGAAGGGAGCAUCACAUUUAUGACAGGCAUACAGUUGGAAAGGGCCCGAAUGGUAGCCAUUUAAA